GGGACGAACGCUGGCGGCGUGCUUAACACAUGCAAGUCGAGCGGUAAGGCCUUUCGGGGUACGCGAGCGGCGAACGGGUGAGUAACACGUGGGUGAUCUGCCCUGCACUUCGGGAUAAGCCUGGGAAACUGGGUCUAAUACCGGAUAUGACCUCCUAUCGCAUGGUGGGUGGUGGAAAGAUUUAUCGGUGCAGGAUGGGCCCGCGGCCUAUCAGCUUGUUGGUGGGGUAAUGGCCUACCAAGGCGACGACGGGUAGCCGACCUGAGAGGGUGACCGGCCACACUGGGACUGAGACACGGCCCAGACUCCUACGGGAGGCAGCAGUGGGGAAUAUUGCACAAUGGGCGAAAGCCUGAUGCAGCGACGCCGCGUGAGGGAUGACGGCCUGGGUUGUAAACCUCUUUCAGCAGGGACGAAGCGCGAAGUGACGGUACCUGCAGAAGAAGCACCGCUAACUACGUGCCAGCAGCCGC
Molecule: ribosomal RNA, 473 nt
Filed under: uncultured soil bacterium
Lineage: Bacteria
Description: bacterial SSU rRNA
Rfam family: Bacterial small subunit ribosomal RNA
Source: RNAcentral